Molecule: long non-coding RNA, 1186 nt
Organism: Syngnathoides biaculeatus (alligator pipefish)
Lineage: Eukaryota; Metazoa; Chordata; Actinopteri; Syngnathiformes; Syngnathidae
Exons: 5
Source: RefSeq, a predicted model, not a curated record
CUUUCCUUUGAGUUCUGGGAGGAACUCUCUCCAAGCUUGCAUCUUUUUCCUUUACAAAUUGGAAUUUUUCCAGAUUCUUGAAAUAAUUUAGUCUUUUUUUUUUUUUUUUGGAUCACGCAGGACAGAAGUAUCCCAGUUUCCUCAGACUUUCUCUGGGAAUUUCCACAUAUUUAUCGGCAAUUAGACAACCAUUAUUGUCCCAUUUGUUUUUAUUAUUAUUUUUUUUUUUGGGUUGCAUUUCCUUUAAUUAGAGUCAUGUUGUAGUUCCUAGUUGCCUAUUAGAGUGUUUGGAAAUGACUUCAGGUUAUGAACUGCAAUGUGCUCAUGCUCGUCCGGCCAUUGUUUAUAGCAAUUAUCCUGUGCAUGGUCACGAGGGGUGCAGGCGGGGGUCACCCAGGACGGCUCAAACUCAGUCGAUCACAAGGCUGUCACAGAGAGAGACGGAUUGCUCGCCGCUACGCUGUCGUGUCACCUUCUUGCUCUCGGGCCACUCCGUGAACUACUGCGCCAAUGUGACGCCCAUGUGAGACUUUAAUUGCAAGUAAAUUGAGGACAGCCUUUGAACCACGGGGAAACUUCGAUGGCUUCCUUUGAAUGGAUGCCGCAGUCAAGUCUCUCUGGAUUUGCUCGUGCUGCUGUGAUGCUAUCGGCGUGCCAAAAGAUUAACAGCGAUGCUUCUCCACCAAAACAAAAUCCAUUACCAUGGAAACGACGCUCGAGAUCAUUAAAAGACCGCCGAAAGGAGAGACACUGACGAACAUCGGUAACGAUCUGGGCUUCAGUCAGUCCACCAUGGUGACAAUUAUUAAAGACAAAAUGGAGAGGCGACUUACGUUCCGGAUUGAGGACCAGAUUCCUUUGCAAUCGCUAGCGCAGCCUCCCCUUCUCCUUCUCCAUCCACCUUCUCAGCAGUAAUGAAAACGCUGCGGUUCCAGUUCCUGUUUGGGGCGCCGGCUUGCCUAGCAACCCCUUCACUCCGUCCGGCGCGGCGGAACCGUCAAAUGGGGAAACUUCUCGACGCGUACGGCACGCUCAUGCACACUUUCAUCGUCGCACUUUCCGUAUCCGGCAUGAAUGAGCUGUAGCGUGUGCGGGUUUGAACAGUGAACAACCCAGCCGGCGCGGAGUAACCCCAAAAACAGGAGAAGAGCAUUUAGUGCACGGCAAGAAUGAGAAGCUUGGCACA